UUUAAAGAGAGUUUGAUCCUGGCUCAGGACGAACGCUGGCGGCGUGCCUAAUACAUGCAAGUCGAACGAACGGAGGAAGAGCUUGCUCUUCCAAAGUUAGUGGCGGACGGGUGAGUAACACGUGGGCAACCUGCCUGUAA
RNAcentral lists this ribosomal RNA (140 nucleotides) under Listeria monocytogenes. Its description in RNAcentral is "partial 16S ribosomal RNA". It matches the Rfam family "Bacterial small subunit ribosomal RNA", at positions 1 to 135 of the family's 1533-position model. Lineage: Bacteria; Bacillati; Bacillota; Bacilli; Caryophanales; Listeriaceae. The record is from RNAcentral.